Ribosomal RNA from Danio rerio (zebrafish), 117 nucleotides. Lineage: Eukaryota; Metazoa; Chordata; Actinopteri; Cypriniformes; Danionidae. The record is from Ensembl.
AUCCACAGCCAUAUUACCCUGCAGCCCAAGAGUGGUUGUUCACUGAAGCUAAGCAGGGCUGAGCCUGGUCAGUAGCCGUAUGGGAGACCACACGGGAAAACUAGGUUGCUGUUGGUG